UCCGGUUUGUCACCGGCAGUCUCAUUAGAGUGCCCAACUGAAUGUAGCAACUAAUGACAAGGGUUGCGCUCGUUGCGGGACUUAACCCAACACCUCACGGCACGAGCUGACGACAGCCAUGCAGCUUCUGUGCACGAGUCCCGAAGGAGGACCCCAUCUCUGGGGCUUUCUCGUGUAUGUCAAGCCCUGGUAAGGUUCUUCGCGUUGCGUCGAAUUAAACCACAUGCUCCACCGCUUGUGCGGGCCCCCGUCGAUUCCUUUGAGUUUCAGCCUUGCGGCCGUACUCCCCAGGCGGGGCACUUAAUGCGUUAGCGCCGGCACCCAGGGGGUCGCUCCCCCAGGCACCUAGUGCCCAUCGUUUACGGCGUGGACUAC
RNAcentral lists this unclassified non-coding RNA (375 nucleotides) under uncultured bacterium. RNAcentral's name for it is "contains 16S-23S intergenic spacer region". The record is from RNAcentral.